This 210-nucleotide unclassified non-coding RNA is filed under the name fungal sp. RNAcentral's name for it is "partial internal transcribed spacer region". The stretch from base 1 to 46 matches the Rfam family "Eukaryotic small subunit ribosomal RNA", at positions 1786 to 1831 of the family's 1831-position model. The record is from RNAcentral. Lineage: Eukaryota; Fungi.
AAGUCGUAACAAGGUCUCCGUUGGUGAACCAGCGGAGGGAUCAUUAAAGAGUGUAAAAAGCUCCCAAACCCAUGUGAAUCUACCACUGUUGCCUCGGCAGGCUGCCUCGGGCGGCCUGCCGACGGACCUCAAAAACUCUUCUGAAUAUUACUUCUCUGAGUACAACUUUUAAAUAAGUAAAAACUUUCAACAACGGAUCUCUUGGUUCUG